This 600-nucleotide ribosomal RNA is filed under the name Triticum aestivum (bread wheat). RNAcentral's name for it is "partial small subunit ribosomal RNA". The record is from RNAcentral. Lineage: Eukaryota; Viridiplantae; Streptophyta; Magnoliopsida; Poales; Poaceae.
AUGUGUGUACCCAAAAAUCAAGGAGGGAUGGGAUUCUGGGAUAUUCAUUGUUUCAACACAAUGUUGGCAAAACAAGCUUGGCGUAUUCUUGAGAAUCCAGAGUCCUUAUGUGCUACCAUGUUGAGAGCUAAGUAUUUCCCCGAUGGUGAUUUGUUGAACAUGAAGUUAAAGAAGGGAUCCUCUUUUACUUGGCAAAGUAUAAUGGCGCGGGUUAAUUGCCUAAAUCAUGGUUAUAUAUGGCAUGUUGGAAACGGUCACAAUAUUGAUAUUUGGGAAGAUGCUUGGAUCCCGAAUUGUGCAAACAGAAAAGUAAUCACACCUAGAGGGAGUAAUUUGAUCUCCAAGGUAUCUGAUUUGAUUGACCCUGUUACUAAUAACUGGGACGAAAAUCUAGACCAAACGUUGUGGCCAGUUGACGCACAACAGGUCCUUGUAAUUCCGCUUCCCCAACAUGAUAUGUCAGAUUUUGUUGCUUGGAGCUAUGCAAAAAAUGGAGUGUUUUUAGUUCGAUUAGCCUAUGUUGUGGAAUGGAAACAUCAACACAGGAGAAAAAUUAGAAGAACUGAUGAUAUAGGACAUUUAACCAUUAAUCCUAUUUAG